CAUGCUUCUCUCCAGCCUUCUGAGGGUGGUCGUAGCUUCACUGUGUUUCGGAUCCAGUAUUGCCCAGAAAGUAACUCAAGACCAACCACCAAUGUCAGUGCAAGAGAAAGAAACUGUGACCCUGGAUUGCACAUACAACACCAGUGAUACAACUUACAGUCUGUUCUGGUACAAGCAAUACAGCAGUGGGGCGAUGACCUUCCUCACUCGCCAGGACUCUCAUAACAAGCAAAAUGCCACAGAAGGCCGCUACUCAUUGAAUUUCCAGAAGGCAAGCAAAUUCAUCAAACUUACCAUCUCAGCUUCACAGCUGGAGGACUCUGCAGUGUAUUUCUGUGCACUGAGGGAGCCCACAGUGAGGGGUGUGCAGGAUGGACCUGCACCAAAACCCAGAGUUCUAAUGAUACACCCACCUGCGGUAGGACCAGGGUGGGGAAUUGCCUUCACAGACAGGAGUGGUUAG
This is a non-coding RNA of Dama dama (fallow deer), 463 nucleotides long. The record is from the annotation of a RefSeq genome assembly. NCBI's taxonomy places the organism in Eukaryota, Metazoa, Chordata, Mammalia, Artiodactyla, Cervidae.